This 1346-nucleotide ribosomal RNA is filed under the name uncultured bacterium. RNAcentral describes it as "partial 16S ribosomal RNA". It matches the Rfam family "Bacterial small subunit ribosomal RNA", at positions 28 to 1381 of the family's 1533-position model. The record is from RNAcentral.
GACGAACGCUGGCGGCGUGCUUAACACAUGCAAGUCGAACGGAAAGGCCCUGCUUUUGUGGGGUGCUCGAGCGGCGAACGGGUGAGUAACACGUGAGUAACCUGCCCUUGACUUUGGGAUAACUUCAGGAAACUGGGGCUAAUACCGGAUAGGAGCUCCUGCUGCAUGGUGGGGGUUGGAAAGUUUCGGCGGUUGGGGAUGGACUCGCGGCUUAUCAGCUUGUUGGUGGGGUAGUGGCUUACCAAGGCUUUGACGGGUAGCCGGCCUGAGAGGGUGACCGGCCACAUUGGGACUGAGAUACGGCCCAGACUCCUACGGGAGGCAGCAGUGGGGAAUAUUGCACAAUGGGCGGAAGCCUGAUGCAGCAACGCCGCGUGCGGGAUGACGGCCUUCGGGUUGUAAACCGCUUUCGCCUGUGACGAAGCGUGAGUGACGGUAAUGGGUAAAGAAGCACCGGCUAACUACGUGCCAGCAGCCGCGGUGAUACGUAGGGUGCGAGCGUUGUCCGGAUUUAUUGGGCGUAAAGGGCUCGUAGGUGGUUGAUCGCGUCGGAAGUGUAAUCUUGGGGCUUAACCCUGAGCGUGCUUUCGAUACGGGUUGACUUGAGGAAGGUAGGGGAGAAUGGAAUUCCUGGUGGAGCGGUGGAAUGCGCAGAUAUCAGGAGGAACACCAGUGGCGAAGGCGGUUCUCUGGGCCUCUCCUGACGCUGAGGAGCGAAAGCGUGGGGAGCGAACAGGCUUAGAUACCCUGGUAGUCCACGCUGUAAACGGUGGGUACUAGGUGUGGGGUCCAUUCCACGGGUUCCGUGCCGUAGCUAACGCUUUAAGUACCCCGCCUGGGGAGUACGGCCGCAAGGCCAAAACUCAAAGGAAUUGACGGGGCCCCGCACAAGCGGCGGAGCAUGCGGAUUAAUUCGAUGCAACGCGUAGAACCUUACCUGGGUUUGACAUGGAUCGGGAGUGCUCAGAGAUGGGUGUGCCUCUUUUGGGGUCGGUUCACAGGUGGUGCAUGGCUGUCGUCAGCUCGUGUCGUGAGAUGUUGGGUUAAGUCCCGCAACGAGCGCAACCCUUGUUCACUGUUGCCAGCACGUUAUGGUGGGGACUCAGUGGAGACCGCCGGGGUCAACUCGGAGGAAGGUGGGGAUGACGUCAAGUCAUCAUGCCCCUUAUGUCCAGGGCUUCACGCAUGCUACAAUGGCUGGUACAGAGAGUGGCGAGCCUGUGAGGGUGAGCGAAUCUCGGAAAGCCGGUCUCAGUUCGGAUUGGGGUCUGCAACUCGACCUCAUGAAGUCGGAGUCGCUAGUAAUCGCAGAUCAGCAACGCUGCGGUGAAUACGUUCCCGGGGCU